Molecule: long non-coding RNA, 769 nt
Organism: Etheostoma cragini (Arkansas darter)
Lineage: Eukaryota; Metazoa; Chordata; Actinopteri; Perciformes; Percidae
Exons: 2
Source: RefSeq, a predicted model, not a curated record
UGUCUUCUUCAGAUCCUCCUGCAGUUGGACUCCUGAGGAGAGGAACAGGGGGAAUCUGCAGCUCAGAGAAAGGCUACUGUAUUGCAGGAUAUCUGCAGCCUCCACUGUCAGUGUGAGGAUUCAGAUUGCUAUCGGCUCAGAAUACAAAAGAUCUGUGAGCUACUUUGAAUACAAAUCACAAGAAGUGUGAACAGCAGCGAAGGGGGCUCUUCAGUGAAGAAUGGCUAUUGAAAUGAGGCAGAAGAAUGCCAAAGAGAUAAAGAGAAGAAUGAGCACCGCUGUUCAGUCAACACCAAGUCCUCCAGUUCCAACUCAUCCCAGGCCCCCUCAGCAAGUCAGCACGGGAUCAUUUUUCAUAAUGAUACCUCUGUUCAAAUAUCACCUACUUUUCAUUUGUUUUUUUUCCAAAAAAUUCAGCCUUUGUUGUAGAAGCUGCCUUUGGGUGUUGCCAAUGCACACACUGUUUUUGGGUAACUUAAAUAGCAUUAAUCUCUUAAAGGUAAUCUCUUGUCUGAGCACUGAAAAGUGGUUAAUGUAUUUCAGCUUAGCACAGAAGAACUUUGUGUGCUUGUCAAUCAAUUGUAGACAGACACUUGUGGGAGUGUGACCAUUAUCUGUUCUCAUGUUUGCAUCUUUGUAGUCUUCCUUUUCACUAGUUUGAUUUAGAGCACCAACACAUCCCUUACUUACUAAAGUAGUGUUUUUUCAUUAUUCAUUACUAUUAUUCACACUGAAUCUGUGGUUCUGUAAAUAUUGAAUCUACUUUGUG